RNAcentral lists this long non-coding RNA (287 nucleotides) under Homo sapiens (human). Its description in RNAcentral is "non-protein coding lnc-IRX2-1:2". Lineage: Eukaryota; Metazoa; Chordata; Mammalia; Primates; Hominidae. The record is from RNAcentral.
CUAACUCAGCUGGAGAAUGGCUGCUCAAUAAUGCAGGUUUUGGGGUUCCACAGGCAUGAGCAGGCCAUGGGUCAGGCUGGUUCUGGCAUGGCUGUGGUCGGCCCACUUCCACAGACCACCACCGCAUGCUGUCCAUCUAUCCACCGGAGAUGGCCGCAGUGGGGACCAGGACAAGAGGACAAAUGAGGCCCUGUGUGUCUGAACACUGACCACUUGUAAAUCAGCUGCUAGAUACAAUGUGCUUAUACACAACAUGCUUAUCCUCCUGCCUUGGAAAAUACGUUUUC